Molecule: long non-coding RNA, 6938 nt
Filed under: Xyrichtys novacula (pearly razorfish)
Lineage: Eukaryota; Metazoa; Chordata; Actinopteri; Labriformes; Labridae
Source: RNAcentral
GUAUUGCUUGUAAGGUUAAUUGUAUGUCUGGUACAUUUGACAAGGGGGUAGGUGUCAGAGCAAAAUGAUCAAAAAUGAGCAAAGAAAUGCUAAUUUCACAUGCUGACCGCUUUAACCAUAAGGUGCAUUGAAAUAAACAAAAACUGAAAGCCCCCAACAGAAACUUUUUGUCAUAUUCAUUAAGAUUUUCCUUGAAUAGUUAAAAAAGUCUACCGUCAGUUUAAAUCUGACAUGUGUUAGACUGAAAAUAAGAGAGGUUUUAAACUAUCAGUCAUUGAAAUAGUGAAACAAAUAACAAAAUCAAGUCAUACGAUUCAGAUGUUUUUUUUCUUCCUCCACUUCCUGGAAAGUUUAUCUUCCUUCUUCCCUGAUAGCAUGUUUUCCAAAACUGGGUAUCUCGUGUGCAUUUCUGCAUUGUGGUGUUCCUCAUGGAUCCGUUCUUGAUCCUCUCCAGUUUUAUUUGCACAUAAUUCAGAUUUUUUCAGAUUAAUUUUACGAAGCAAGGCAAAUCCAGCUUUGCACAACCUUAGAGGUCUGACAAAAAAAAGUUACAGGGACAGAGGAUAUGUUCCUGAAUUUCACUUCAUGAAGGCACCAUUAGGCUGAAUCUCUGAAUCAGUCGAACGCACAUACAUUUUUCACCCUAAUGGUUAUGAGCAUUUUCUGUUAUAACCUUUUAGAUGAAGAGAUAUUUUAAAAAAGAUGUGACACUUUACUCCAGAUAAUGACACACAGAGCGUUGUUUACAUUCUCUAAGAGGACAGAUUAUCAUCAGCCUGCACAGCUACAGGUGAAUUGCAGGCAAAUCAGUCCUGAAACUUUGAGAAAACAUCAGACAUUUGCAAAUGAAAUGAUGGGCGGGGUUUGAGUGGGGGGUAUUAACAGUCAGUAAUCAACUGCAUCCUACAGAAAGCAGUAUGAAACUGAAACAAACUACUGUGGACUGGUUUUCGUAAAAUGCAGAGCUUUUCUCUGGAUGUCUGGUGUAGAGCAAAGAAAGUGGCAUCAAACUCUCACACAUAUUUAAGCUGCUUUAGCAUUUGGUUUAUGCCUCGCCUCCACUUUGAUAAUCCCUCGAGACCCGCUGUGGGUGAUUGUGUGAAAGAGAUGAAAAUAAAUGUGCGAUAAAAACCUCAAAACACAGGAGCAUAACAUGAAAAGAAACACUGUGGGUGAAAACAAACGGCUUAGUUGGAGACAAAGGGGGCUUAAAAGAUGCUAUCAGCCAUUUACAAAGUUUCUCCUCAAACAUACUGAGACAGAAACUAACUGUAACCCCCCUCCCCCCUCACUCACUCUCUCUCACACACAACCUCCUGCUCCUGGAUCCUGGUUUAUUGUUUAUUUAUCCCAGUGGAAGGACACCUGCUUCUCCUGGAGCUUGUUUGUAUUUGCACUGAGGACAUGGGAUAAUACAGUCAGGGAGGGAUACAAGGUUUGUGUGUGUGUGGUUUCAAGUAACUGUAUGAGUGUGUGAGGGGGAGUCUGGGAAUAUCUGCCCUGGCUGCUGAUGGUGGGUUUAAGUAGGUGCUGACCUGACAAAAAGAAGAAAGGGUAAUCCAUGGAGGAACAACAGGCAGGACAGCAAGACUGCAAAUUAAAGCAAAGGGUUAAACCUAGAAAAACAACUACUAAGUAAUUUGUAAAGGUGGAAGAUAUGCAGAAGAUAUGAAUAAAACAAGUACAUUACUCUAUAUGUUGUUUCUGCUCUGAAAAAUGUCCUUCUUGACAGUUUGAAAGAUAUAUCAUGUGUUUUAAUGACUAUGCACAGUUUAUUUGGCAUGUUAGUAACUUCUUGAGGUGGAACUACUUGUAACUUUGACCUCUAGAAAAGGCCACAGUGUUUACCUGACUGCUGGAAAAAAACAGCAUCCAAGUAAGCAAAGUAAAUUUAACUGUUUAAAACUGUGCGGCCCAUUUCCUUUUCACUCAAGAACACUGGACAAAAAUGACCCAAACCUGAAUGAACCAGAAACCAAGGCAUAGAAUUAAUCAAAGGGCAAGUAUGCACCUCGUUCUGCUGAUGAUGUUAUAUAACUAAACCUCUGUUGUGUUUGUUAAACUGACCGAUCAAUUAAGCACUUGUUCGGCUCUAAUAUUCAUGACACAAAGUCACAACUUUUUGGUUCCUCUCGAACUUUUGUAUGUGUGUUUAGAAAAAGGGGUGUGUGAGCCAAGUGGUAACCCCUAGUCUUGAGAAAUUCAGCUGAAAUGUGGAAGACUGCAGUUUUCAGAGUGCCUGUUCACGCUACAAGAUCAGCAAAUCAGACACAUGGCUGAUUUGACUAAAAGGUGGGCACACUCUCGCCAUUUGUGUGGAGACUGAAGGCCCACCCGUGGCAGGUCAACUAAAUACUACGCUAGGUCAGCAUUACCAAUAUGGUGGCAGCCUCAAACAGGAGACAUCAUGGAACUAUGUCCAACCGUUAAGCAGUGAUUGGUAAAAACACACAUGAGUAUGUCCCAUACAAGCAUAUAUCAACUUUUCUGACAAAAAAAAACACAUCCCAUGUUAUAUAAACAAUUAGAAAUAUCUGUUAUCAGGUAAUUGUUUUUCAUGAAAUGGCUGAUGGCUGAAAUGGCAUCAAUAUAUACUUCUGCAAGCGAGUUGUCAUUUCAAUUAAUUUCAGUGCAUAGAAACAAUCUAUCUUGUUGCUGAAGAUCUAGUUUGCUUUUGUUAGCUUUAUAGUAGCAUCAAUGUAAGUUUUGGUCUGUUUUGUAGGCCCAUAAAACACCUCACAGGAGCUUAAAAAAUCAUCUCAAUUUCAUCCAAAGCAGAAUAAGAACUCAUUAGCGAGUUUGUUUGGUCUGUUGCUUCAAUCGAAGUGGUUCUCUCUCUCUCUCUUUCUAACAGAAACUCCCACCCGCUUCCUGUUGUUCCUGGUGUUCAACAGCCUGAGGCAGAGGGAUGAUCUCAUGACUGUUUAGAGUGACACAAUCAUACAGUGAGAAAUGAAAAGCAAAGCAAUAGACCACAGAUAAUUGAACAUGUGGGUAUACCAUCUAAACUCGCUAAUGUGUAGUCUGGAUGGGGUCGAUCCCAACAGUCUCCAACGACUCAAACCCUGCAGGAUGUUUGUGUUACCUUCGUUCAUUUACUCAGUGGGAUCCCUUCUCCUUUCAUCUCUUACAUCCCUCUUUUUUCCUCCUCCCUCGUGGAAGACAGUUAGUUUUUAACGCCACUCUAGGCAGCAAACCAGGAUGGAAAUAAGAUGCAAAUCUUCUCCCACUUUGUCUAGCAUGCUAGCACUCGUCUGAGCAGAGCUGUAACCGCACUGAGGUUUAUCUGAGUACCACCGGACCUCUGUCAGUUUGGGCUCAUGGUGAAGAUUGCUGUUGUUGGGUAAACAGGAGAAGAGUCUGUAUGAACAAUGACAGAGUGUUGGGAGGUGUUUGGAGAUCAUUAUCAUGUUGUCGCUCGCUGUCUGCCUGAAUGUUAACAGACACUGUUAAGGUCUGAAUCGAUGUGAGCUGUGUUAGACUACCUCUAAUAUUCACUCAGCUAUACCUGGAUGACAGAUGGGUCUGAUCCACAAACAUUAUUUUAUUGACAUUGUGGGAUCGUCAUCACUUCUGUGUAACUGAUCAUUGUGGCUGACUGUUUGUUGUUGCAGCUUCAUCAGUCAGGACUUAAUCACUUUGUCAUUCUUGGAUCAUUUCUUGAUUUAAGAGUUUCAAUCUGAGGAUUUUUCCGCAUUAAGGAUUGAGUAACAGGGCCUGGAUUAUUGUGGUGUUUUCUGGUGUUUUGCUGAGGCCAGGGUUAGAUGCUAUCACACUGAUGACAGUAAAAACAGUCACAGACUGAGGGCACGGCAGACCCGCAUGCUGCUGUGCAACUCCUUAAACACUUGUGAUCAUGCACACACACACACACACACACACACACACACACACACACACACACACACACACACACACACACACACACACACACACACACACACACGCACACACGCACAUACAGCGAGAGAAAGAGAGUGCAGGAAACAGGUCAGGACUUUUUUCCAGGUGUUAUUGGAUUCUGGGAUUCUUGGAUUGUUUUGCUUCACAACACGGCUGAUGUUUUAGCCCUGAGCUGUGGAUACAACUGACCAUCCAGUCUGACUAAAGAGACCGUUAUUGUAAACAGACAGAAGCAGAUGAUGUUGAAGAACUCAAAUGUUCUAUAAAUUGAUCUGUUAGUUGAUAGACUAUUAAUUAAUCUGCAUAAACAGUAAAGGAUUAAUGAUAUUUUCUUUUAUUAUCUCAACCAACACCUUUUUUCCUUUUAUUCAAUGACCAUGAUUUUCUCAAAAACCCUCAUAUGGACGUUUUGCUCGGAGCACGUGCAGUCGUACAUUAGAUGUCUAAAACAUCUAGUAAAACUCAGACUAGCGUCAGAGUUUAAAGCUUCUUUAAGGAACUUUUAUCUCCCUUUGAUUUUGGCACCCCCUGUGGACAAAGCUUUUCUUACCUCUUUGCUCAUUUUAUUAAGUAAAAUGUAUGUUUCAUAUCAAGACAUAAUUAGGAAAUAACAUCAAUGACUCAAUAAAAUAACAUAUAGAAAAACACCUAUACAACUGAGCAAAUUCCAAUAAAAUUUGAUCAUAUUUUUCAACCCUUUACAGAGACAGGAGGUCCUCAUUUUUUGUCUUUUCAAAUUCAGGCAAUUGGUACAUCUAAAAUAUAUGUACACAGAUAUAUGCUUUUGACUUCCAAGUAUCAUCCAUCCAUCUAUACAUCCAUCCACUUUCUACCGCUUAUUCCCCUUUGGGGUCAUGGGGGGGCUGGAGCCUAUCCCAGCACGUUCAGGGUGCAGGGGACACCCCGGACAAGUCGCCAGUUCAUCGCAGGGCUGACAUAUAGAGACGAACAACCAUCCACGCUCACAUUCACACCUACGGGCAAAUUGACAGUGGCCAAUUAACCUAACCCCACUUCUGCAUGAUUUUGGGAUGUGGGAGGAAACUGCAGUAGCCGGAGUAAACCCACGCAGACACAGGGAGAACAUGCAAACUCCACACAGAAACGCCCUGACCCGGAUUCUAACCCAGGACCUUCUUGCUGCGAGGCGACAGUGCAUACCACUACACCACUGUGCUCCCCCUGGAUUUAUACAAACAUAGAAAAAAAGGAGAACUGCUUUUCUGUUGACAUAAAAGAUUACUCUGUGCCGUUGAUAUAAAAAAAAAUCAUGUAAUCCACAGUAAAAAAGGUCCCAACUGAAGCUCCUGACGCUGGUAAAAAAAAAUCCGGUUAAAACAUGAUCUAAUAAAACUCCUGUCAGGAACUCUGAAUCCAUUUUGACACCCCAGCAAACAAAGUGAUACCUCUUAUCUCUCAGCUGUACAUGUCAAGGUAGGUACAAAAAAAUCUCCUGCUUUUUCAAACAUAUUGAUGAAAAAGAAGUUCAGUUUGUUUGAUAAAAGGCUGAAAACUUGAAACUUUACUGAAAGUGAACAAAUACCCUCAGAAAUAGAUGUUUUGUGUAACAUUUUUUUUUUUGUUUUUAUGUACGUUCUCAUCGCUCAAAGGUGACAAGCUGAGAAGCCCAGACAGUCACCUGAGCCCUGUACUGUAGAUCAGCUCCACAGGCCUAGACAUUUUCUUAAAAUGCCAGUGAGGGAUGUUUGCAGGUUGCACAUACCCGAAAUGCACAAACUUUGCCCCUUUCUCCCCCAUUUAUCUUCUCUUUCCAGCACUUCACAGGUUGAGCCAAGUCUCCAUUCUGUUAUCCUCCCCCCAUUAAAAGUGACACAUAACCUACUAGUUUGUUUUUACCGACAGGCACAAGUGUGAGGCUUUUAUAAGUAGCUGGUGCUGGGUGUGUGUUCGUAAGAAUGAAGGCAAACUGAACACACGACAUUCUUAGGAGAUCAUGGACGAUUCAAGAAGCUAUUUUAAGACUCACAUCUAUGGGAAAUCGUCAACAGCUUACAAAGUUCAUAUAGAGGCACGCAUUUCAUCUUACAAAGAGACGUCAGUUACUGGAUCUUUGAAUCAACAGGCCAAACAGUGAUUAAACACUCUGUUCAGAUCAUGUUUUCUAGUUGAGAAAGAAAUACCAUCAGACUCCUUAUUGAGGCUCAAAAAAGCGAGGGUUUGUUUUUAUAUUUAUAUUGAUCAUUUAGUACUUGAAGUUAACCUGUUGAUGUUAAAGUCUCCACUUUUUAGAGUGAUCGAAAAGCCCAUUUUUUCCAGACCUCUCUCGUGACUAAGUGGCUCCUUCACCAACACAAAGAUGACAAAGCAAACAUUAUUUGUCCAUCGCAUGAAGCUGAAUGGGGUAUUUUUAGAGAUUCAUGGAUGGGACUGGUGAGGUGACUUGCAACUGAAGGCGGUUAUUGUUGAAGAAAGCGUGGGAGACUGACAAACAAGCUCUGCAGCUUGUCACCUGGUCAAGCCACCCAGUCCAGUUUGGUUUCUGCCGUGAUUGAUUUUUACUGGCCCUCAUCGAACACAAUCACAGCCUCCUCACUGUACAACAAGGGGAAGAAAAGUGUAACAGAACACAUAUACCAUUAUAUGAUUGCACUUAUUCACCUGCACGCUAUCACUAAAAUUCAGUACAAAGAAAUGAGUAAUCAUGUUCGUGAUAAUCUCAUGUUAAAAUCGAGGUUGAGUAUCAGUAUGAGAGUAAGAUUUUAACUCUUGCAGAAUUUUAAAGGUUAAUUAUAAGGAGACAAAAGUUUAAAAGAAAUUUAAAUUGUGAAUUUUUCUGCAGUAGUAUAGUGAAGAAUGAAUGACAUAGAAACAAUAAAGUGCUGUGUUAGUUAGGAAGAAAGGAAACAGGAGCAUAGAGUGUGAGUAUUCUGGAAAGCUUGUCAUGAAAUACCACAUUUUAUAUUAGAGUGCUGUUCACCUCAGAGAGAAGUCUGUUUUUUUUUAAGCCACUGACAGCAAAAGUGAAGAGAGAAGGGCGUAAAAAGGUUGGUUUCGUGAAGCAGUCAGGACUUCUU